UGAGGCAGGAGAAUUGCUUGAAGCUGGGAGGCGGAGCUUGCAGUGAGCUGAGAUGGCACCACUGCACUCCAGCCUGGGCGACAGAGACUCCAUCUCAAAAAAAAAAAAA
Molecule: microRNA precursor, 109 nt
Filed under: Chlorocebus sabaeus (green monkey)
Lineage: Eukaryota; Metazoa; Chordata; Mammalia; Primates; Cercopithecidae
Description: miRNA (ENSCSAG00000026254.1)
Source: RNAcentral